Cervus hanglu yarkandensis (Yarkand deer) is the source of this 345-nucleotide ribozyme. It matches the Rfam family "Nuclear RNase P". Rfam says of the family: Ribonuclease P (RNase P) is a ubiquitous endoribonuclease, found in archaea, bacteria and eukarya as well as chloroplasts and mitochondria. Its best characterised activity is the generation of mature 5'-ends of tRNAs by cleaving the 5'-leader elements of precursor-tRNAs. The record is from Ensembl. NCBI's taxonomy places the organism in Eukaryota, Metazoa, Chordata, Mammalia, Artiodactyla, Cervidae.
AUGGAAAAGAAUAUUUAAAAGAGAAUGUAUAGUGGGGCUACGAACUGAGUGCGCUUAGUCACUCUAUCCAAUGUCCCUUGGGAAGGUCUGAGACUAGGGCCAUAGAGCGGCCCUAACAGGGCCCUCCCUGAGCUUCGGGGAGGUGAGUUCCCAGAGAACGGGCUCCGUGCAAGGGUAGACUGGGCAGGAGAUGCCAUGGACCCCACCCUUGCGGAGGGGCCUGGCGGAUGCCUCCUUAGCCAGAGCUUGGAACAGACUGACGGCCAGUGAAGUGAGUUCAAUGGCUGAGGUGAGGUACCCUGCGUGGGGGCCUCAUAACCCAAUUCAGACUACUCUCCCGCCCGU